GUUAUCAUAAGGGUUCUUCAUUAUGAACUUGUAUGCCAUGCAUAACAUACUGUGGAUAGAAAUUAGAGGGAAAGUUACUGGUAUGAUAAUUGUGGUUAUAUUAUAUUACUAUUAUAUUUAGUGUAUUGCUAAUCAAUAUAUUGUUACUUCCCAGAUGACAGCGGCUCGCUUCAAGAGCAGGUGAAGCAAGUUGGGACAAUGUUGAAGACAUUUGCUCGCACUGGGCAAUCAGGUACAACUUGCAAACAACACCUGUGGUUGUUGGUUUAAUUCCCACUGGGGCCACCUGUACAUGUAGUAGACCUAGAUAUAAAUGUCAUAGUUUAGUAGUUGAAGGACCAGGACUGACUACUUUAUUCUUUUAUUCUGGGAACCCCUGUAGGUGCAGAUCAAACCCUAAUGCUGCGACGUCUUGGAAUUUGCCGAUGUUGUGCUUAGCAUGGACGACAAAAUGCUAUGCUGCAACGUUUCAGUGCCAAUGUGUCUGUUGGAGAGUUAUCCCUGCCAGGGGAUCUGUUACUCCCCCCUAGACACCCAGGAAGAUUUGGCGUUGCUUGACAACAGUUUGAGGCAGGAUAAAGAUCUCCAGCAACGAUUUCUUCGGUUUUUGGCAAUCAAAUGUGGGAGGGACCUAAAGACAACCGUGUGGCGAAUGCUUCAGAGUAUCUUCUCUAAUCACCUUUCCAUCAAUACAACCUGGACUGGUGUAGGGGGAUAAAGCAUGUUUUAGAGACAUGUUCCUGAAGACCAUUGUUCAAAGAGCCAUCCGGAAGAACCCGGCAACACAGGAUGCCACUGAUGAGGCGAUCCAGGUUAACGUUACCUGAAAGGAGCAUCUGAACAUGAAGGUGGAAAAGGCGCCGCACAGCUGAGAGGGACCCACAGCCGACCCCUUAAACCUAGG
Molecule: long non-coding RNA, 904 nt
Organism: Xyrauchen texanus (razorback sucker)
Lineage: Eukaryota; Metazoa; Chordata; Actinopteri; Cypriniformes; Catostomidae
Exons: 3
Source: RefSeq, a predicted model, not a curated record